Molecule: non-coding RNA, 2204 nt
Organism: Chlorocebus sabaeus (green monkey)
Lineage: Eukaryota; Metazoa; Chordata; Mammalia; Primates; Cercopithecidae
Source: RefSeq, a predicted model, not a curated record
CUCCCCUCGCGUCUCCUCCCCUCGCGUCUCCUCCCCUCGCGUCUCCUCCCCUCCCGCCUCCUCCCCUCCCGUCUCCUCCCCUCUCCUCCGCCAGCCGCAGGCGAGCCAAGAACCGGGAGAGCAAAGCACCGGGCGGAGGGGAGGGGGCGCGAGGAGGAGGCGGAGAUUCGGGGGACAAGGUCGGUUCCGCCUGAGACUGAAAGAAACUGGGAGCCAGGCGGGGGCGGCGGAAGCGCGAGUCCAGAACCGAGCCCGGCGGGGCCGCUGCGCGGAUGGACGGCGGGCCGGAGCCUCGGGCCGGGGCGGAUCCGGGCAGAGCGGGCGCCGCACUCCCGCAAACAGGGCCGUGGACCCCGCGGGCCGUGGCUCUCCCCGGAGGCGCCCCCUCUGAGCUGCUGCCUGUGGAGCGCGGCACGGAGGCUGCAGAACUACGCGGCCGCCCGACUGACGGGGUCUGCCCUGGUUUGUUUAUUUUUAUCUUUCUUUAAAGUAAGAGUGCAGAAGGCUUCCCCUCCUCUCACGCCACCUCUCCAAAGAGGGCCAAUGUGGGUGACUUUCUGAGUGGUCCCCAAAGCAGAUCCCGAGGCCUGCGCGUCGCGAAUCUUCUCUGCCAGGGCGCUGGUGGAGUAGUUUCUCAGCUGGUGCCUCUGACCCAGAGAAUCCUGCCGCAUGGCGGUGGUUCUGGAAUGCCCUGUGGAUUCGCCCUAAGGCCUUGUAGGCCCGGGGACUCUGGGGAUGUUGUAUAAAGCAGGAAAAUAUGUAAAUGGAUCGCAGGGGAAAGGUAGCGUGGCCCAGCGGUCUAAUGCGCUGGAUUAAGGCUCCAGUCUCUUCGGAGGCGUGGGUUCGAAUCCCACCGCUGCCAGCUUGGUGUGGUUUGUCCACUUUUGUCCCCCAAUAAGGAUUCGUUGGAACUUUCCUCGGGCCCCACGCUUGCUCGGGAUCUGGAUUCCAUUUGGCAGCGCGCAGCCGUCCAGUGGACGGGCUUUGUAGGGAGUUCCUUGGCGCUGGUGUUCACAGCAAGUGAGGUGGGUUCAGUUCUUCCCAGGUUCCAGUGGUUGAGGUGGAAAGGCAACGGUAUAAAUACCCUGGAUAGCCUUUUCUUCUUAACCAGGUGGAGAUAGAGGUGGAGUGUUGUAGGCUAGUCCUAAGUGUAAUACGUUUGAAGUAAUGAGGUAAAAAGUAGACGGAAGUGUUUCCGCCCGGUUUUGAACCGGGGACCUUUCGCGUGUGAGGCGAACGUGAUAACCACUACACUACGGAAACCCGCUUGGCUUUCGUGUGCCAUCGUAAUGACCCACCACACAGAGCCGUUUUUCAUUUCCUCAUCGUAAUUCAGAGCUUCCUCCAUGCGUCCCUUUGAGCUUUGUUAAUGAGCAUAAGCACACACACAAAGAUAUCUCAGCACCUGGAAGGCUGAGGCGGCAGGAUAGCUGGAGCCCAGGAGGUCGAGACUGCACUGAGCUAUGAUUGCAGCACUGCACUCCAGCCUGGGCGACAGAGCAAGACCUUAUCUCGAAAGAGAGAAAAGAAAGAAACGAGAAAAGGAAGUUUUCAUGUGCAAUGUGGUGGCAUAAGUGGGCACGGGAGUCCUGAGAGAGGAUGUCGCGGCGACAGUGGGUAUGGGGGUUGAACAGCAGGGGCGCGCUGGCACCCACCAUUUUCAAAGAGAAGACACAUUCAGAAGAAGCUGCUUGGGGAAUAUGAGGCCACGCAUUUAAAAGGCAGAUGAAAACAGAGGAAAAGCAGAUCACUUCUUGUGUACCACUGAGGCUGACAGCCAGGAUUGGCUGCAGAUGGGCAUGUUGGAAAUCUUUGUGGUAACGGAACUGUUUUAAAAGUGGAUUGUGGUGAAGGUUGCAGAAUCCUAUGCAGUGACUAAAAACCAUUGAACUGUAUAUUUACAAUGAGUGGAUUUUAUUGUAUUGAAUUGUACCCCAAUAAAGCUGUUAUAGAAUGCUAAACCAUAAAAACAAACCCCCAAACACAGCAACAGGCAGUUCGUGUUUCCCAGGGAUCAGCUCAGGUGACAGUUGCAUUGUGCAAAAUGAUUCCUGUGACCCAGAGUAUAAUUAAUGUUUACAUAAUGCUUUACUGCAGCCUUGGAGGGCAGGUAACUUGCACCUUGAAACUUGAAGGUCUUGCUAGUAUUGCUUGUAAUCAAAGUAAAGUCGUUGUAUAAAUAAACAAGGUGUGAAUAAAUUUAA